Molecule: ribosomal RNA, 253 nt
Filed under: uncultured bacterium
Lineage: Bacteria
Description: partial 16S ribosomal RNA
Rfam family: Bacterial small subunit ribosomal RNA
Source: RNAcentral
UACGGGGGGGGCAAGCGUUGUUCGGAAUUACUGGGCGUAAAGGGCUCGUAGGUGGCCAACUAAGUCAGACGUGAAAUCCCUCAGCUUAACUGGGGAACUGCGUCUGAUACUGGAUGGCUUGAGUUUGGGAGAGGGAUGCGGAAUUCCAGGUGUAGCGGUGAAAUGCGUAGAUAUCUGGAGGAACACCGGUGGCGAAGGCGGCAUCCUGGACCAACACUGACACUGAGGAGCGAAAGCCAGGGGAGCAAACGGG